UGGGGAAUAUUGCACAAUGGGGGAAACCCUGAUGCAGCCAUGCCGCGUGUGUGAAGAAGGCCUUCGGGUUGUAAAGCACUUUCAGCGAGGAGGAAAGGGUGGAAGCUAAUACCUUUCAUCUGUGACGUUACUCGCAGAAGAAGCACCGGCUAACUCCGUGCCAGCAGCCGCGGUAAUACGGAGGGUGCAAGCGUUAAUCGGAAUUACUGGGCGUAAAGCGCACGCAGGCGGUUAUAUAAGUCAGAUGUGAAAGCCCCGGGCUCAACCUGGGAACUGCAUUUGAAACUGUGUAACUAGAGUCUUGUAGAGGGGGGUAGAAUUCCAGGUGUAGCGGUGAAAUGCGUAGAGAUCUGGAGGAAUACCGGUGGCGAAGGCGGCCCCCUGGACAAAGACUGACGCUCAGGUGCGAAAGCGUGGGGAGCAAACAGG
Molecule: ribosomal RNA, 429 nt
Filed under: uncultured Aeromonadaceae bacterium
Lineage: Bacteria; Pseudomonadati; Pseudomonadota; Gammaproteobacteria; Aeromonadales; Aeromonadaceae
Description: bacterial SSU rRNA
Rfam family: Bacterial small subunit ribosomal RNA
Source: RNAcentral